UUCGUGUCACAAAGUGAACCUCAAUUGAGAAUUUGGUGAAACCAAGUGUUAUUUUUUUUUUCUUAAUUUCCCCUAAAAAAAUUGUAAAAGCCUAACAUUUGACAUUUUGUCGGCUCUUCUUUCACAUGAAUCAAUUGAAGCGCAAAUGGGAGAUGGGAGGAAGAAUCUGAUGAUUGGAUUUUGAUUCCUAGAUUAUUCUAAUUUCUUCUCUUUCUACUAAAAUAUAUAAAAAUUCUAAUUUCUUCUCUUUCUACUAAAAUAUAUAAAAAUUCUAAUUUCUUCUCUUUCUACUAAAAUAUAUAUAUAAUUAUUUGUUAAAUUUCAUGAUCUCAGUCGUAAUUCCACUGUUUGAAAUCUAAUUAUCCGCCGAUCUGCUCAACUUCAGACCCAGUUACCUCUCUCUCUCUCUCUCUCUCUCUCUCUACGAUUUCAAGAACAAGGAAGCAGUUUGAACUGAUUUGCUUGAAUAACAGAGCAGAUAUGUCUCCUUCAAAUGGCAGUUCAUCAGGAGGAGGAAUUGCUAAUACUAGUAAGAAUUUCAUACAGCAUCAGGUCUCCAAGAUGGACACUCUCGCUGGUGUGGCCAUCAAGUAUGGCGUUGAGGUGGCUGACAUCAAAAGGAUGAAUGGGUUGGCCACCGACCUUCAAAUGUUUGCUUUAAAGACGUUGCUGAUACCAUUACCAGGAAGACAUCCCCCAUCUCCCACGUUGUCCACUACUUCUGCUUCUCCAGGAGGGAACAACCUUGAUAAAACACCACCACGUCCUUGCUACUCCAAUGGGUUGGAAUCAUUUGAGUCCUUAAGAUUGAAAUCAGCCCAACAGAAGGUUUCUCCAGCUAUGAGCACUUUACAGAAGUACUAUGGUCUCAAAUCUUCAAAUCAUAUGGGUGCAGCUGGAGGCACAGGAGUGGCAGUUCACAGAACAGGAAGCUCAGAUUCCCUAACUGAGGGGCUAUCGUCUAGAACCACACCAAUCUAUGAGUCUCCAUACCACAAUCUCAAAUCACAGAAUUUUGCUAAUGGUUUAACCCCUGAGGAUGGUACUGUGGUAGAUUACAUGCCUCUUGCAGAUGCUGGAGAUGCAGAAGGUGACAAGUCCAAUGAGAAGUCUGUCAGGAGACGCCAGAAAUCUGAAGCAGAUUUUAGAACUGGAAAACCAGAAAGGUUGCUGAAGGAAGAGAACAGUGGUGGAAGCAGUGAUUUCUCAACUGUAGCAGGAAAGGGUUUAGCUAUGAGACCAAAAUCAGCGAGCCGAACAGUGCUCUAUGCUGAAUCAGAGCCGGGAUGGUUAAAUUCUAUACCAGUGGGUUUGGGAGAUUCUUUUAUUUCUGAUGGACUACUGACUGGAGUUCGUAAAUCAUCAAGUACACCAAGUCUGCUUGACCAAGACGACAAUAAUACUUCUUCUGUUUGGCCAACUUCUAAGUGGAGUUUGAAACAUGACCUGCAGGCUCUCUCAUCUGCAGCAAUAAAUAUACCUAUAUUUGAUGGUUUACCAAAGCCAAUAUCUGGACGGAAGAGCAAAGCUGCCCUUGAUUAGCCUGAUGUUUUGCAAUCUGAUGGAGAUUUUUUGUUCUAUAUUUAUAAUCUAAUGGGAAUGGAACGUCACAGCCACUCACUGCCAUGUGUCAUGUAGCUGCAAAGGGCAAUUGAAAGAGAAAGGCCAGGAAUAUUAUAUAAAAAUUGUUGAAAAGGAUAUUGAGAAGCGUAAGGAACACUGAGUCAGGGCCAAGAGGCAUAUAUCAGAGGUAGACAGACGGAUAGAGCAGCAGAGUAGGCUACUUAUGCUACAUUUUGAGAUUUCGCCCGUAUAUUGAGUAUACCAUAUUUUGUAGUUUAUGUUGUAAUGUAUGUGCUCUGUAUGUAUAUUGUACUUGGUCUUGAGCAGUUGUAAACUAAAAUUGUAAAUUAUUUUGGCCUGUAAAAAUAUUGUGAUAUAUUUAUAUUAUCUCAGCUUUUAGAAAUACUGGAAAAUUGAUGUUGAACUGUGUAACACCCCGAACCUCCGAGUUAUGAAUAGUACCAUUUUUUGUCUGUGACUA
Hevea brasiliensis (rubber tree) is the source of this 2044-nucleotide RNA transcript. RefSeq lists it as uncharacterized. NCBI's taxonomy places the organism in Eukaryota, Viridiplantae, Streptophyta, Magnoliopsida, Malpighiales, Euphorbiaceae. The transcript has 5 exons. The record is from RefSeq and is a predicted model, not a curated record.